RNAcentral lists this ribosomal RNA (486 nucleotides) under uncultured bacterium. Its description in RNAcentral is "partial 16S ribosomal RNA". It matches the Rfam family "Bacterial small subunit ribosomal RNA", at positions 899 to 1397 of the family's 1533-position model. The record is from RNAcentral.
ACUCAAAUGAAUUGACGGGGGCCCGCACAAGCAGCGGAGCGUGUGGUUUAAUUCGAGGCAACGCGAAGAACCUUACCUGGGUUUGACAUGGGCAUGGUAGUGAAGCGAAAGCGGAACGACCCGCAAGGGAGUGUCCACAGGUGCUGCAUGGCUGUCGUCAGCUCGUGCCGUGAGGUGUUAGGUUAAGUCCUGUAACGAGCGCAACCCUUACUGCCAGUUACAAGUGUCUGGCGGGACUGCCGGUGUGAAACCGGAGGAAGGUGGGGAUGACGUCAAGUCAGCAUGGCCUUUAUAUCCAGGGCUACACACACGCUACAAUGGCCGGUACAGAGGGAUGCGAAACCGCGAGGCGAAGCGAAUCUCACAAAGCCGGUCUUAGUUCGGAUUGCAGGCUGCAACCCGCCUGCAUGAAGCUGGAGUUGCUAGUAACAGCCGGUCAGCCACACGGCUGUGAAUACGUUCCCGGGCCUUGUACACACCGCCCGU